Molecule: long non-coding RNA, 1421 nt
Organism: Cheilinus undulatus (humphead wrasse)
Lineage: Eukaryota; Metazoa; Chordata; Actinopteri; Labriformes; Labridae
Exons: 3
Source: RefSeq, a predicted model, not a curated record
ACAGGUGUAAGUGAUAAGUGUAAUUAACUAGGUUAGGUACACAGCACGAGGACAAGUGUGCUAAAUGUCGGAAAGCACUUUUUGCACGGGAACUAAAAACAUCAAUUAAAUGAACAGAAGAUCGUCUUAUGGAAACACAGUCCAGCUCUAGAUAAAUAUCUCAGCACAGCCAGGAGGAGGAAUUUCAGUGAAGAUCAUAUCACAAGUAUAUGCACACACCAGAAGCUCUGUAAGCAAGUUUAUCAGCUCUAUCACAACAAUGAAAGCACAAAUGCCUUUUCCAACUGAGAGCCUGACAUCAGUGCAUGCCUCACCAAUACUGUUGGACAAAUCAGCUGUUCCCCGAGGACAAAUGCUACCACUCUGCCAGGAUCAAUUUCUCUCUGCCUCAUUUCAAUCUGUGGAAAAUAACUUGAUGAACCCAUCCUCUGCAUUUAUAAAUACCUCUUCAUCAGAGAUGGUCAGCUCCCCUUUCUUACCACAGAUGGGACCACAUCUCUCUUCACACUUUGCAUUCUGGGAUGCCAGUUUUGGCCUUGUGGGUCCUACUGCUCUCACACCAGUAAAUUUUGGCCAAGACUGCAGCGCUAGUCAACAGGCUACGGAAGCAAAGUUCAUCAAACCUUCAGCAGAACAAAGUCAUAGAGGUUCACCCCUGGUCUGUCAGUCUGUUAGUGAACGCCAACCAUACUUCCCUUUGUCUUUGAGUUCUGAUGAUGUGACAUCCAAUAAUGAAAAUAUGUCAGUGUCAGAUGUUCUGUAUCAUGCAAGACUCAUCCUAGAGGGAGACCUACGUUAUAGUAGUUCUUUAGUAGACAGUCCACAGGAUACAGACAUUCAGCUUAGACUUGAUCUACCAUUGGAUAGUAAUGAUGACUUGUGUUUUCCUAAUGCUAUUGUCUUUAACAUUGUUCUUCCGACUUACACUACAGCAAAAUAACAGUAUGAAUGAGAUGUUGAUGAUGCAUAAUUCUUUGAUUAUGCUGUUUUUUUUUCAGUUUUCAAUGUUUGCACAGAAAUUGGUUUAAGUUUUUUAUGUUUGUCUAUGAUGCUAAUUUAAAAUCAAUACUUUAUAUUGAGUUCAUGUGAGGUAACCAAGCAUGUCCACAUGGAGUAGUACAGACAUUAAAUUAUUAUUUUGUUGGAAAAGUCCAAGCAUCCUCAUGAUGAUUUUUAUUUUCCUGACUGAUCAUGCCCUAGACUGUUUUGGCUACUUGCCAAAAUUGGAGAAAUGUGUGCUGUUUCAGAAUUUCUGUUGGAUAGUGCAGAUCUGUCUUUUUUUCUCAUGUUUUUCAGUUAACCCCUUCAGGAUUCUGAUCAUGUUAACCUUUCCAGGACAGAACCACCACAGCAGCCACAAUUAAUGCAUUUGUCAGGCCACAAACAAUAAUAAAAGUGACACAGAUCAACAUUAUAAGUUC